AUUGAACGCUGGCGGCAUGCCUUACACAUGCAAGUCGAACGGCAGCACGGGGCAACCUGGUGGCGAGUGGCGAACGGGUGAGUAAUGCAUCGGAACGUACCUUUCAGUGGGGGAUAACGUAGCGAAAGUUACGCUAAUACCGCAUAUUCUGUGAGCAGGAAAGCAGGGGAUCGCAAGACCUUGCGCUGAUUGAGCGGCCGAUGUCAGAUUAGCUAGUUGGUGAGGUAAAGGCUCACCAAGGCGACGAUCUGUAGCGGGUCUGAGAGGAUGAUCCGCCAAACUGGAACUGGGACACGGUCCAGACUCCUACGGGAGGCAGCAGUGGGGAAUUUUGGACAAUGGGGGCAACCCUGAUCCAGCCAUGCCGCGUGAGUGAAGAAGGCCUUCGGGUUGUAAAGCUCUUUCGGCCGGGAAGAAAUCGCACGGGCUAAUACCCUGUGUGGAUGACGGUACCGGAAUAAGAAGCACCGGCUAACUACGUGCCAGCAGCCGCCGUAA
RNAcentral lists this ribosomal RNA (498 nucleotides) under uncultured bacterium. RNAcentral describes it as "partial 16S ribosomal RNA". It matches the Rfam family "Bacterial small subunit ribosomal RNA", at positions 30 to 523 of the family's 1533-position model. The record is from RNAcentral.